UUAAACAAUUUAGCAACCUUAAAAACUGUUACACAUUAUGAAAGAUAGAUAAAUUUGUAUGUAAAUAAGAUAUAGAAAGUCUGAAAUUAGUCGAUAUUAAUAAUGCAAACCAAAAUUUUACGACAGUACGAUUUUAUAUUACCUGGCAAAAAUGAUGCGCGUGCACAAUUUCGCUCAUUGCGCCGGCUGGCGGGACACUGGCUAUGGCAACAUGAUGCAGCGCGGUUUAUAGAUUAAAUCGAGUCAAAGAAAUGCGUUGAUAAAGUUUAAGAUCCUAGUGAAAAGAGCCUGUUACUACUUACCCCUGUUACAACAAGCCCCUCUCUCCCCUACUUCUAAUACCAACCAAGAAUAUAAAUUAUUUCAUCUUGAUA
Long non-coding RNA from Melitaea cinxia (Glanville fritillary), 374 nucleotides. RefSeq lists it as uncharacterized. NCBI's taxonomy places the organism in Eukaryota, Metazoa, Arthropoda, Insecta, Lepidoptera, Nymphalidae. The record is from RefSeq and is a predicted model, not a curated record. The transcript has 3 exons.